Long non-coding RNA from Loxodonta africana (African savanna elephant), 1908 nucleotides. RefSeq lists it as uncharacterized. The record is from RefSeq and is a predicted model, not a curated record. Lineage: Eukaryota; Metazoa; Chordata; Mammalia; Proboscidea; Elephantidae. The transcript has 3 exons.
GGACUCUUGCUCGAAGGCCGUGAAUAUGGACAAAUCCUAAGAUAGACAGGUAAGCUCUGCUAGCUCAAGUCCCAAGAACCAGAGGUCAGACAAGAGACAGCUGCUGAAUCCAGAACAAGCCAACAACUUUUGCAAGGCGAGCAGGAAAUAAGUAGGUGAUGGAAGGCAGAAAGAUGAAGGCUGAGGGGGUGAAGAGCCACCACAGGUUGCACCCCCGCCAGUACCACUCAGAAGAUUCCAUCAUGGGGAUGAUAAAAACCAAAAAAAACCCAAACCUGACUCAUAGGACCCUAUAGGACAGAGUAGAACUUCCCCAUGGAGUUUCCAAGGAGUGCCUGGUGGAUUCGAACAGCUGACCUCUUGGUUAGCAGCUGUAGCACUUAACCACUAUGCCACCAGGGUUUCCAUGGGGGUGAUAACAUAUCACAUUUCAACAGAGAAGUGAUCACAACAUUAUACGACUGCCAAAACACUGAGAAUCAUGGCCAGCCAAGUUGACACACAAUCUUAACCAUCACCCUGGGGGAGGAGGGUGUUGGGUUUGAAGAAAGCUUUAAAAAGGUAUGAAUGUUUAUGUUGGAAUGUGGAAGAUAGGGAAAAGGUUUUUUCCAGACAGAGAAGUAAAUUCUAGGUGGAAGAGAUCAUCCAGAGACAUGUAGGAAUGUUCAUGGGUGGCAUGUCUGGGGAACACUUAAAUAUUCUAUUAGAGAGAGACAUGGGGAAGUGAUGAGAGAGCCCCUGAGCAUGAGGCUGGAAAAAGACGUUUGGACCAGAUUUUGAAGAAUUGGAGAAGCUUUGAAGGUUUUUAACAGGUGAGUGGUAACCAGCUGAAGCUUGGAAAAGAAAAUUAGACAGUCUAUUAAGCAGGGAGGGAGGAAGGAAAUAUAUUUAGUAAGUACCAGGUGCUAGGAUUAUGGUGGGAGGUGGAGAGUGAAGUCAAGAAUGACUCUUCACUUAAGUAGAUGGUGGUGAGGAUACUACGCACAAUACUGUUGAGAGUGAGCAAGUUUUGAGGGAAGAUGAUGCAUUCAACUUGAACAUGUUUAUAGUAGAAAUGUCAACUCUUUCCUCCUCAAAUAAUUUCCUUCCUGUAUUAGUUAUUGUCUUAGUCAUCUAGUGCUGCUCUAACAGAAAAACCACAAGUAGAUGGCUUUAACGAAGGGAAGUUUAUUCUCUCACAGUCCAGUAGGCUAGAAGUCUGAAUUCAGGCUCCAGGGGAAGGCUUUCUCUCUUUGUAGGCUCGGAGGAGAGACUGAAAACCAGCAGAGAAUACGGUAUGGAGAAUGGGGUCCUUGUGGUCAAAUGUUGCAGAUUGGUGAAGGAAAAGCAAGACUGGCAAAAUUUUAAUGAAGAGCUAUUGUGGAGGAAAAAGAGCCUUAAGAUGAAAGAUGCCUGAAUGUCGAAUGCUGAUUCAAAAACUGGAGCUACCACCUGGAGAGUUGCCUGAACCUGGGGCAGACUUCAGGUUUCACAGGUCCAGGGAAGGUGGUGGAGUUGGGAGAAGGAGUUAUAGAAGCUUCUUCUACUUCCCUUCCAUUUUUAUUUCAUCUUUUCUGACAACAUUUUGGGAUGGCGAAACCUUGGGAAGUUCAGUUUCAGAAUGGAGGUACCUUCCUUUUAGAAGUUACAUUUGAGUCUUAAAAAGUAAGAACAGCCAGGGUGGGGCAGAGGGGAAAGAAAAUUGCUGGCUGCAUAGACCUGGCUCCAGGGUAAUGGUCCUAAGUGAGGAGACAAAGGGGCCUUUUAACUGACUUCCUACACUGUCCAGCCUAGCUUGCCAGGGAUGGAAGGAAAACUGAUUUGGGGUAGGUUCCUGUUUAGUAUUAAAUAGAAUUCAAUGGACUGACCAUCCUAUCUAACAUAGCUCUUGGGGACCAGAGCAAAGUGCUGGCAGCCACAUUGGGUGCA